Non-coding RNA from Aptenodytes forsteri (emperor penguin), 46 nucleotides. The record is from Rfam. Lineage: Eukaryota; Metazoa; Chordata; Aves; Sphenisciformes; Spheniscidae.
AAAAAGGUUUUGAUCAAAACCACCCUAUUUCACUCAUGAUUUAUAU